Ailuropoda melanoleuca (giant panda) is the source of this 487-nucleotide RNA transcript. It is a transcript of the gene named histone H2A type 1-B, with no coding region annotated. Lineage: Eukaryota; Metazoa; Chordata; Mammalia; Carnivora; Ursidae. The transcript has a single exon. The record is from RefSeq and is a predicted model, not a curated record.
UCUACUUUGUUAGUCAUGUCCGGUCGCGGCAAGCAGGGCGGCAAGGCUCGCGCCAAGGCCAAGACGCGCUCCUCGCGGGCGGGUCUCCAGUUCCCGGUGGGCCGUGUGCACCGCCUUGCUGCGCAAAGGCAACUAUUCGGAGCGGGUCGGGGCCGGCGCGCCCGUGUACCUGGCGGCCGUGCUGGAGUACCUGACGGCCGAGAUCCUGGAGCUGGCGGGCAACGCGGCCCGCGACAACAAGAAGACGCGCAUCAUCCCGCGCCACCUGCAGCUGGCCAUCCGCAACGACGAGGAGCUCAACAAGCUGCUGGGCCGCGUGACCAUCGCGCAGGGUGGCGUCCUGCCCAACAUCCAGGCCGUGUUGCUGCCCAAAAAGACGGAGAGCCACCACAAGGCCAAGGGGAAGUAAAAUGCCGACCUUUCCUUGAAAUGGGUUUUUCCUAAUGAAGAGUUAACCUACCAACUUAAAAAGGCUCUUUUAAGAGCC